GGGCUGCCAACAGACUGACCCUUGAUGUUUCUCCUCAGCUCCCCAUGGACCACUGUGCACCGCGUGGCACUGGGCACCGGCACAAGGUGAAGAGGUGGGAGGUGUCGGUGCUCACAGGGCGGCAGCACAAAUUGGUUCUUCCGUCGGAGUCCCACGGCAAAAAGGUGGUUUUUGCUAUUGGUGACUCCCAUCUUCGAAGCCUUGCAGAUGGCAUCGUGCGGUUGCCUGAGGGUCGUCUGGCGUGGGGGUUCAUGUCAACGCC
Long non-coding RNA from Melanotaenia boesemani (Boeseman's rainbowfish), 262 nucleotides. RefSeq lists it as uncharacterized. Lineage: Eukaryota; Metazoa; Chordata; Actinopteri; Atheriniformes; Melanotaeniidae. The transcript has 4 exons. The record is from RefSeq and is a predicted model, not a curated record.